GGUCAGGCCACUUGAGAGGAAUAUGGGAAUGUUGUCAGAGAAUGCAGGGAUGCCACAAGGAAGGCUAAGGCGCAUUUGGAAUUAAAUCUGGGAAGG
This is a non-coding RNA of Tinamus guttatus (white-throated tinamou), 96 nucleotides long. NCBI's taxonomy places the organism in Eukaryota, Metazoa, Chordata, Aves, Tinamiformes, Tinamidae. The record is from RefSeq and is a predicted model, not a curated record.